UCUUACAUGGGACCCUUCAUUUUCCAUUAUUUUCUUAUGGAACGAUUGCUAAGCUAGCUGCCAAAGAGAAUUUAUUUCUCCUUAUAUAGCAUCUAUAUGGCCAGAAGAGAGGGCAAGAGAAAUAAGAUUUAAGUUACAAAAUACUUUUAUAUUUGAGAAGGAGAGCAAGCAAGGGUGGUGGUCUAGAAGUAUCAAGAGUGAGGAAUUUCUUGCAAGGAGAAGAGAUUAUAUGACAGAGGAAGAUGAAGCUGUGAAAUGCGAGGAUUUGCGAGUGGGGAAUCUGAAUGGGAGAUUUCAAAUGCAUUUGGAAAGUUCUUAUGUUGUUAGAACUGCAUAUGUUUAAUUUUCUUAAUUGGACUGGAGAUCAAAAUUAUUUGGUUUAAACUCAAUUUGAAAUGUAGAUUUCAAUGAAAGGUAUCAGACGAUAUUAGUUUUGAAA
Molecule: long non-coding RNA, 439 nt
Organism: Vigna angularis (adzuki bean)
Lineage: Eukaryota; Viridiplantae; Streptophyta; Magnoliopsida; Fabales; Fabaceae
Exons: 2
Source: RefSeq, a predicted model, not a curated record